This 585-nucleotide long non-coding RNA is filed under the name Triticum aestivum (bread wheat). RNAcentral's name for it is "long non-coding RNA (TAES_LNC012091)". The record is from RNAcentral. Lineage: Eukaryota; Viridiplantae; Streptophyta; Magnoliopsida; Poales; Poaceae.
ACAACAAUCCCAUUCACACAAUUUCAUUCAGUAGGAACAAACACCUUAGGUUCACAACUGAAUCAAAUAAGAUCUUCAUAUAAAAUAUUCAAAUAAUUAAGAGAUCAUACAAACUUGAACUAAGUUUUCCUAUAAAGCUAAAAUUUGUAUAUAAAACAUAAUAUUUGUUCAUCUAAACAAUAAUUCUUCUAUAGUUCUCCCGGCUCCUACAAUGCACUCCUUUUCUAAAUCUUGAGCUGCCCUGAAAAAGAAAGAUAACAGAGAAAUUUUUAGAAUAUAGCUUUAAGACUAUUAUGAGAAGAAAUGUAAUUUGAUGAUGUACCAUACCAGUAUUUGGCAGCCCUCUUUGGUUCUUGCGCAAUUGCUAGGAUGCAAUUCCUGGUUAGACUUUUCCGGUAAAGUUGAUUCUAUACAGCCUUGAUUGAACCUAUCAAUUUUUUCAAUGUGCGCCAUACGGAAAACAUAAACAUUGUUUGACAAUGAAUCACAAGUUUAUGCACACACACACCAUAGCAACCAUGUAUGGUAAAGAUGAACCAGUGUAAUCCUCCUUGGUCCUCGAAGAAAAGCUAGGAUGCAAUUCCU